GACGAACGCUGGCGGCGUGCUUAACACAUGCAAGUCGAACGGAAAGGCACUGCUUUUGUGGGGUGCUCGAGUGGCGAACGGGUGAGUAACACGUGAGUAACCUGCCCUUGACUUUGGGAUAACUUCAGGAAACUGGGGCUAAUACCGGAUAGGAGCUCCUGCUGCGUGGAGGGGGUUGGAAAGUUUCGGCGGUUGGGGAUGGACUAGCGGCUUAUCAGCUUGUUGGUGGGGUGGUGGAUUACCAAGGCUUGGACGGGUAGCCGGCCUGGGAGGGUGACCGGCUCCAUUGGCCUUGGGGAGCGGCCCGGGCUGCUUCGGGGGCCAGGAGUGGGAACCUUUGCCAGCCGGGCGGCGUCCGUAUGCAGCACCGCCGGGUGGUGGAGGACUGCUUUCGGGUAGUAAACCGCUUUCGCCUGUGACGAGGCGUGAUGGACGUUAAUGGGUAAAGAAGCACCGGCUACCUACGU
RNAcentral lists this ribosomal RNA (467 nucleotides) under uncultured bacterium. RNAcentral's name for it is "partial 16S ribosomal RNA". It matches the Rfam family "Bacterial small subunit ribosomal RNA", at positions 28 to 506 of the family's 1533-position model. The record is from RNAcentral.